UUACUUGGGAAUUUCUGCCAUCUCCUAUUCUGCCAGCUGCCACAAUAUUUGCAAAAACUGAUUGCUUAGUAAAAAUGUUCAUCCUGGGGAAAAGUUUUUGCCCUCUUCCCUGUUCUCUACGUGGUCUUUUUCUAGUUAUUUUUCAUAUUUUAUAUGCUGCGUAGUUGCUUAAUGGAAAAAUUUAGCCGCAGAGUCCCUGGAAUGGCAUAGUAGAAAAGUGCGGUGUAAAAACAUGUAACCAACAAAUAUUUUAGAAUCAAAACCAAAUGGGGAUUGGCAGGAAAAAACCCAACAAAUUACUUAUGUUAUGUUUACAGGAAAUCGCUGUACAGAAGGCUACCUCAGAUUUUGAUGAGCAGGCAUGGCUGUCACGCUGCAUACUGAUGUGGGAGAUAUUAAAAUUGAACUAUUCUGUGAGCGUACUCCAAAGACUUGUGAAAAUUUCCUGGCUCUUUGUGCUAGUAACUACUACAAUGGAUGCGUAUUUCACCGAAAUAUAAAGGGCUUCAUGGUUCAGACAGGGGAUCCAUUAGGCACUGGGAAAGGAGGUAACAGCAUCUGGGGCAAGAAGUUUGAAGAUGAAUUCAGUGAAUAUCUAAAGCACAGUGUCCGUGGGGUAGUUUCCAUGGCAAACAAUGGUCCCAACACCAAUGGAUCACAGUUCUUCAUCACUUAUGGCAAACAGCCACACCUGGACAUGAAGUACACGGUGUUUGGAAAAGUUAUUGAUGGCUUGGAGACCCUGGAUGAGCUGGAGAAGCUGCCUGUGAAUGAGAAAACCUAUCGACCUCUUAAUGAUGUUCGCAUUAAAGACAUUACAAUUCAUGCCAACCCCUUUGCUCUGUAGCCACAGAAUGGUGCAACACAUUCUGCAGAGACUGGUCAGAUAAUUCCCAGAUUAUGGGCUUUAAAGAGCCAUCAAAAAGGGUUACUUCAGCUGGAUCAUAUCUUUGCUUAUUGAAUGCAGAAUUUUCAGAAGCUUUAACAUUGUUUGGGAGUUGUCACAGAGAAGUCUUCUGCUUCAGAAGCCAGGUUUUCCAGAGUAUCUUCCAGCAUUUUGAUUUUUAAGCAUUGUUUUUUAUACUUGUAAAAUAAAAAAGCUUUAAUUUUUUUUCUAAUAUUUGGUUUUUGCAUUAUCUUUCUGAGUGAUGUUAUGUUAAUGCAAUGUUCUUUGCUAUAAUUUCAUGCUACCAGUUUUGUGCAACUUUCUCAUAAAGUGUCAUCUUCCUUAGUCAGUUUUCUCAAAAGAGUAAAGUAAAAUACACAUUUUUUUUCCCUAGGUGAGAGCAGUGUCAUAAAUAGAUGAAACCUUUCCCUCCCAGAAGAUUAAAGAACAUAUUUAGAGAAGUGUUUGCUCUUGUGCUGCUGUGUUGGAAUGAUAACAUCUUUAGCCUUCCCAAAAGAUAGGUGGGAGUAAUUUCUUCUGCUUCUGGCACAACACUAUUGCUAUGAAAGAACUAGGGGGUAAACAAAGAGCAUUGUCAAAAAGGCUGUGGUC
Melozone crissalis (California towhee) is the source of this 1498-nucleotide RNA transcript. It is a transcript of the gene named peptidylprolyl isomerase like 3, with no coding region annotated. Lineage: Eukaryota; Metazoa; Chordata; Aves; Passeriformes; Passerellidae. The record is from RefSeq and is a predicted model, not a curated record. The transcript is spliced from 7 exons.